GGGGUUGUAGCUCAGUGGUAGAGUGCUUGCCUAGCAUGCAGGAGGCGUUGGGUUCAAUCCUCAGCACCA
Molecule: transfer RNA, 69 nt
Filed under: Ictidomys tridecemlineatus (thirteen-lined ground squirrel)
Lineage: Eukaryota; Metazoa; Chordata; Mammalia; Rodentia; Sciuridae
Description: Spermophilus tridecemlineatus (thirteen-lined ground squirrel) tRNA
Rfam family: tRNA
About the family: Transfer RNA (tRNA) molecules are approximately 80 nucleotides in length. Their secondary structure includes four short double-helical elements and three loops (D, anti-codon, and T loops).
Source: Rfam by way of RNAcentral